CACGAAGGGGGCUAGCGUUGUUCGGAAUCACUGGGCGUAAAGGGCGCGUAGGCGGCUUUAUAAGUCGGGGGUGAAAGCCUGUGGCUCAACCACAGAAUUGCCUUCGAUACUGUAGAGCUUGAGACCGGAAGAGGUAAGUGGAACUGCGAGUGUAGAGGUGAAAUUCGUAGAUAUUCGCAAGAACACCAGUGGCGAAGGCGGCUUACUGGUCCGGUUCUGACGCUGAGGCGCGAAAGCGUGGGGAGCAAACAGG
This 253-nucleotide ribosomal RNA is filed under the name uncultured bacterium. RNAcentral describes it as "partial 16S ribosomal RNA". It matches the Rfam family "Bacterial small subunit ribosomal RNA", at positions 524 to 776 of the family's 1533-position model. The record is from RNAcentral.